CAAAUCUGAUUAACCCAUGUCAAGUGUAGACUGAUAAAAAAUGAUGGAAAUAACGUCAACAAUAAUUUAAAGUCAAGGAUAAUCAAAGUUUGAUAGAAGUAGCAAACAAGUUGACAGGAUUGACGGUUAUUUGCUACCAUCAAACAUCAAUUAUGAUAUUAGUAAAUUUUUUUAUCUUGCCUGUAAGCAGUAUAUUAGUGAAAGUGAAUUGUUACAAAAUGAAAUUUUCAACUUAAAAUGCGCUCUUCAUUAGUAAACAACAACUUUCACUGAUGGUGCUGCUGUGCAACAACAAGUGUAAGAUGAUGUAACAUCAGAAGAUUGUUAAAGUAUUGUUACAACGCUUUUAGUGACCUGAGUUUUUUUCUCCUUAUCUCUCUUCUUAUCAUAUUUGUGACAAAUGAAAAGACAUCUAUUCUAAAGACUAAAAUGUUGCUGGGUAAGUCAAGUUGUGCCAAUAAACUAGCAAAGAAAACCUGAAUUUGGUUUGAACAUCACCCAGUUUAGAGCAUUUUACUGGUAAGACUGAUGGUUGUGGUUGGUAAAUCAAAAGUCACUAUGAUUAACUCGCUGAUUUAACUUUGUUUAUGUCACGCAAAGCAUCAUUGUUAAGGUUGACAUUUCCAUUUUAUUUCAACUAUCACAAAAAAUAAACACAUACGGAAGUAGCUGUUCCUUUAAAAAAUCAAAUUUAUAAACAAAUUUUGAUGUUAACGUUGAUGGUGGCAGUGAUGGCGAUAGCUGAUGUAAUGUGAAGGAGGAUGAUGCCGAUCAAUUUUGACAGACUUAAGAGAUCAACUCGAAACACUAGCAAAAAGAUGAUUCAAAGACUAAUAUCAAGCAUGAAAGACACAGAUGCAACGUUAUAAUCCAGUGGCAACAAAACGAUUAAAAGCACAAGUUAAAAAAACAAAGAAAGCGAAAUUACCAAAGGAAAAAGAAAGUUCAAGUUGUACCAUUGGCAGUAAACUUGCAAAACGUUUUGUUUGAUAUGGAUCAUGUUUAACCUGCUCAUAGACAUUUCUCAGUGAGAUAAAGAUGCACAAUCGAUUGAUUUAGAAGGAUUUCAAAGGAAUUAAAAUUGUCCUUAGUUUGUUACCUCAAAGCAACCAGUUUAUCAUAAGGAUUUUCUUGGAUUAUUACCGUUUCUGUUGAACUGUUGAAAUGUGAUCAUUUACUUUCCACUGUUGCUUCAAGUCAACUUUUUCAAUGUUCACCAUUUCAACUUAAAUUACAUCUUUAUUUUUCAACUUUUUUUUGCUCAUGCAAUAGUUUUCUUCCUCUAUUUUACUUAUUCUUUCUCGUCAGCUCUUGGUAUUUUCUGCCACUUUAGUUGGACUCUCUAUGAAUCUAAAUCAUUUUAUUCUUUUUAUGUCUUUUUUUAGCGUUAAAAGCCAAAUUUUGGGUCACGGUUUGAAGCUAGCUUGGAUCCAACAAAUGAUAUUUGAAAAGCAUUUCUGGAAACCAAAAAAGUUUACCAAUGUUGGCCAAUUUCAACAAAAUUGUUGUUUUUUUCAUUGGACAUAAAGGAAAGAUGCAAUUAUUGGAUGCAAACCGUUGGAUGGUCAAUAGAAAAAGUGAAGCCAAUUGUUUAACUUCAAUUUAAAAUUCAAGCCACUCUUUAUUCACUUUACUAUUUAUCAACUAUUUUUCAUGGAAUUAAGUAGUUACUCAAGGACUUGACCACAGAAGACCGCAAAAAUUUCAACUCUCAAGACUAUUUUCAUCACUCUGCACCCAUCAGCAAUCUAAUUUCAGUUUGAAAUUGGAUUGGUACUAAUUUAUUUUUAAUUGAUAGCAAUUGUGGCUUUCAAUAAGAGUGCUGCCAUUUAGAAUUAUAUCUUGAAAGAAGUCAUAAAACUGUCUAAAGAGCAUACACACUGGAGUUUGAGUUAUUUCAGUCACACCGUUAUAGCCAGAAUAGUAACUUGAAUUAUCGUAAUGAUAGCAUUGAAAUUGUACAACUUUUAAAAUGGUAUUAAAUAAUUUUUACAAUAA
Tetranychus urticae (two-spotted spider mite) is the source of this 1998-nucleotide non-coding RNA. Lineage: Eukaryota; Metazoa; Arthropoda; Arachnida; Trombidiformes; Tetranychidae. The record is from RefSeq and is a predicted model, not a curated record.